GUACGCUGGCGGCACGCCUAACACAUGCAGUCGAACGAAGUAGCAAUACUUAGUGGCAGACGGGUGAGUAACAUGUAGGUAUCUGCCCUAUGGCCUGGAAUAACACGAGGAAACUUGUGCUAAUACCGGAUAAGUCUUUACGGAGAAAGCUUUAUGCACCAUUGGAUGAGCCUGCACUUGAUUAGUUUGUUGGUAGGGUAAUGGCCUACCAAGACUAUGAUCAAUAGCUGAUUUGAGAGGAUGAUCAGCCACAUUGGGACUGAGACACGGCCCAAACUCCUACGGGAGGCAGCAGUGGGGAAUCUUGCACAAUGGAGGAAACUCUGAUGCAGCGAUGCCGCGUGAGUGAAGAAGGCCCUUGGGUUGUAAAGCUCUUUCGUCGGGGAAGAAAAUGACUGUACCCGAAUAAGAAGGUCCGG
RNAcentral lists this ribosomal RNA (419 nucleotides) under uncultured bacterium. RNAcentral describes it as "bacterial SSU rRNA". It matches the Rfam family "Bacterial small subunit ribosomal RNA", at positions 31 to 496 of the family's 1533-position model. The record is from RNAcentral.